GAUGAACGUUGGCGGCGUGCCUAACACAUGCAAGUCGAACGCUAGUAGCAAUAUUAGAGUGGCGCACGGGUGAGUAACACGUAGCUUAUCUACCUCCCAGCGCGGGAUAACGGUUCGAAAGAACUGCUAAUACCGCAUAAGCUCACGAGCUAUAGAGGCUGGUGAGAAAAGGCUUAGGUCACUGGGAGCGGGGGCUGCGGCCCAUCAGCUAGUUGGUGAGGUAACGGCUUACCAAGGCGACGACGGGUAGGGGACCUGAGAGGGUGACCCCC
Molecule: ribosomal RNA, 272 nt
Filed under: uncultured bacterium
Lineage: Bacteria
Description: partial 16S ribosomal RNA
Rfam family: Bacterial small subunit ribosomal RNA
Source: RNAcentral